CUGGCUCAGAUUGAACGCUGGCGGCAGGCCUAACACAUGCAAGUCGAGCGGUAGAGAGAAGCUUGCUUCUCUUGAGAGCGGCGGACGGGUGAGUAAUGCCUAGGAAUCUGCCUGGUAGUGGGGGAUAACGUCCGGAAACGGACGCUAAUACCGCAUACGUCCUACGGGAGAAAGCAGGGGACCUUCGGGCCUUGCGCUAUCAGAUGAGCCUAGGUCGGAUUAGCUAGUUGGUGAGGUAAUGGCUCACCAAGGCGACGAUCCGUAACUGGUCUGAGAGGAUGAUCAGUCACACUGGAACUGAGACACGGUCCAGACUCCUACGGGAGGCAGCAGUGGGGAAUAUUGGACAAUGGGCGAAAGCCUGAUCCAGCCAUGCCGCGUGUGUGAAGAAGGUCUUCGGAUUGUAAAGCACUUUAAGUUGGGAGGAAGGGUACUUACCUAAUACGUGAGUAUUUUGACGUUACCGACAGAAUAAGCACCGGCUAACUCUGUGCCAGCAGCCGCGGUAAUACAGAGGGUGCAAGCGUUAAUCGGAAUUACUGGGCGUAAAGCGCGCGUAGGUGGUUCGUUAAGUUGGAUGUGAAAUCCCCGGGCUCAACCUGGGAACUGCAUCCAAAACUGGCGAGCUAGAGUAUGGUAGAGGGUGGUGGAAUUUCCUGUGUAGCGGUGAAAUGCGUAGAUAUAGGAAGGAACACCAGUGGCGAAGGCGACCACCUGGACUGAUACUGACACUGAGGUGCGAAAGCGUGGGGAGCAAACAGGUAUUAGAUACCCUGGUAGUCCACGCCGUAAACGAUGUCAACUAGCCGUUGGGAGCCUUGAGCUCUUAGUGGCGCAGCUAACGCAUUAAGUUGACCGCCUGGGGAGUACGGCCGCAAGGUUAAAACUCAAAUGAAUUGACGGGGGCCCGCACAAGCGGUGGAGCAUGUGGUUUAAUUCGAAGCAACGCGAAGAACCUUACCAGGCCUUGACAUCCAAUGAACUUUCCAGAGAUGGAUUGGUGCCUUCGGGAACAUUGAGACAGGUGCUGCAUGGCUGUCGUCAGCUCGUGUCGUGAGAUGUUGGGUUAAGUCCCGUAACGAGCGCAACCCUUGUCCUUAGUUACCAGCACGUUAUGGUGGGCACUCUAAGGAGACUGCCGGUGACAAACCGGAGGAAGGUGGGGAUGACGUCAAGUCAUCAUGGCCCUUACGGCCUGGGCUACACACGUGCUACAAUGGUCGGUACAGAGGGUUGCCAAACCGCGAGGUGGAGCUAAUCCCACAAAACCGAUCGUAGUCCGGAUCGCAGUCUGCAACUCGACUGCGUGAAGUCGGAAUCGCUAGUAAUCGCGAAUCAGAAUGUCGCGGUGAAUACGUUCCCGGGCCUUGUACACACCGCCCGUCACACCAUGGGAGUGGGUUGCACCAGAAGUAGCUAGUCUAACCUUCGGGAGGACGGUUACCACGGUGUGAUUCAUGACUGGGGUGAAGUCGUAACAA
RNAcentral lists this ribosomal RNA (1481 nucleotides) under Pseudomonas chlororaphis subsp. aurantiaca. RNAcentral's name for it is "bacterial SSU rRNA". It matches the Rfam family "Bacterial small subunit ribosomal RNA". The record is from RNAcentral. Lineage: Bacteria; Pseudomonadati; Pseudomonadota; Gammaproteobacteria; Pseudomonadales; Pseudomonadaceae.